AGAUAUGAAGAGUUUCUCUUACCCUUAGAGAACGACAAACAAAGAGGACAAGUUCAUCAGUGAGGCAGAUUUAAGAUUGUAUAUAUUGGUGCAAAUUGAUCAAGCUCGAGAAAAUGAGAAAACUUAGGAAUGGAAAAAACAUAGUAUACUCCUACAAGGUAACACGACAAGAGAUACAUCAAGUUUAAUAUGGUCAUGAGGAAGAAGAACAUAACAUACACAUCCAAAUACUUUUAAGAUAAGAGCAGAAAGGGGGAGUACGAUAUAAUCAUUCAAAGGAAAAGAUAUUCUGAAGGACAGAGGUGGGAAAACGAUAGAUGACAGAUGGUAUAGACAGAGGUAAGAGCAACCUCACAUCAAAUUUUUUAUUUUUGGAUGAGAUGCAGAAUAAAGUUAGAUGCAAAAAUAAAUCCAAAAUGUGGUGGUAUUUCGUUCUAUUCACCAUUUUUGAGGCAUGAGGACAAAAGCAUUAAAUAAGAGUACCCUGUUGAGUGAAAAAUGAAAGAAGAAUGAACUCAUUAUACUCUAUGACAUUAUUAGUGCAUAGAACUUUAGUGGUCUGAUAAAACUGAGUUUGAGUCGUAUUAACAAAAUCAAUAUAAAUUUGAAAUAAAUGAGUUCCUUCAGUUUCUGUCCAACGAAGAAGACGUCACAGCCCACGCCUGCCGUCAUCCAUCACACUGUUGCCCACCAACACUGUCACUUCGUCCCGCCAUCUCCAAUUGGCGGGCGUAAUCGGUAAGUUUCUUUUUUGUUUCCCAUCUCUCUCUCUCUCUCUCAUUUGCCACUCAUCACUGCUACCGUCGCCACGGUCUCCGUAGAAUUUCCAUUUAGUUCAGUGGGUAGGUUCCAAGCUUUUAGGAGAUUGGAGUCACUGUCCAGCAAGAGAAACGAACAUUUUAGUACGUUUUGGUUCAAAUCAUUGUGUGAAGGUUUGAAGUUGUUUCAGAUCCAAGAACAAUUUUUGGUCAUUCUUCAAGAUUUUGGAAUGAACUUACAGCAGUGAUGACAAUUUUGGAUCUAACCUCGUGGAGUUUAUGCUUUAGGAUUGGACCAAUAGGUCAAAAGGCAAUGAAAUUUGUUUUCAACAACAGUCGGGUAUGAAUUUUGAGGUAAGUGGAUUAUUUUCAACGAUAGUUGGGUAUCAAUUUCUAGUAAUGCCACUAUAGUAGGUAAAAUAAAAUAUUAUUUAUUUUGGCUUUACCAAGUAGUUUUAGAAAAGCUCGCAUGUUUUUUUGUUUUUUAAAAAAAUGAAUGAUGAGAUUUUAUGAGCAUGCUAAGAUUUUUUUUGUGAAUUAUUAUGAUAUGGCCCGUUAUUAAAUGUUGCAUGUUAGAUCAAUUUAUUGGUUAUGACCCUCCUACCACUAGCUAUAUACAUUAUAUUUGUUUGCCUUUUAAGUCUAAUAGAUAAGUAUCGUUGUGCCUCCUUAUGUUCCUAUGCCUUGGGAUCCAUCAGAUAAGUUUGUUUGUGCAUAUUGGGUUUCACUAAAUAAAUAUGAGUACAUCUCACUUAGGGUAGGGUGAGUUAAAUGUUUUUGACAAUGUUUUAUUUAUUUAGAAAAUUUAAUUUAAGUCUUAAAUGGUCAACUAGAAUUAGUUUUGAAAUUACAUGCAUGUAAUAAUGACCCCAAUUAGAGGCCUCGAAAAGUCAAGUUGGAAUAGUAUAUCAUCUAUAGAGGAUAACAUAGAAAAAGACAAAGUAGGUUGUUUCUCCAAGUUUACAAUUCAAAUAAUCAAAGGAUGAAAUUUGGAAACAUUAUUUAAAUUGCUAACAUAAACUAAAAGACCAAGUUUUCAAAAAAAACAUGACCAAGACGAAGGUGUCACUAAUAUAAAGUAGAAUCAGUGUAAAAGCAUAAGUAAAUGGAAAAAUAAGGAGUUGAUGUGAAGUAAGCUCAAACAAUCUUUCUACUUUGCGAACAAUACGAACUGUAUGUGUCAUUUACAAAUCCGGAACUGAACGACUAAGAAAGAAACAAACAAUCAGGUGAAGAUCACAUAAUUUUGAAAUGAAGGCAAGAUUAAGAGUUAGAUUUGAUACAUAAUAGGUAUUAGGAAGAUUUAAUAUAGAUUUGUCUAUUGUGCCAAUAUGAGAAAUUGACAUACAAAUUUCAUGCGCAACAUGAAUGGGAGGAAUGGAUUUUGUAGGGGUGGCUAAAAACAUAAAAGAAGAAUACCAGAUGUCAUGUGAUUGCAAUAAGCUGAGUUGAGAAUUCAUGAAUUACUUGGUGAGACCGCAAGAGCAAAAGAUUUAGAUUCGAUCACCUGUUUUAAUACAUCCUGGAGAUCAUUGAUCUAAAUUGGAAGAAGUGGGGUAAUUCGAAGGGGUGACAACAACAACAUAUGAGGAACCAGCCUUUAGAAAAGUUCAUUGAUUUUGUAGAGUGAUGUGGAAAGCGAGGUGGUUGAGUUGGAUGAUUGUCCAAGAUAUAUCCAAGUUUGUGAAACCUCUAUAAUAUCUAACAAGUCGAGUCUUAUGUGGGUCAUAUGCACUCAAAUUAGAAUAAUCAGCAAACUUAUGAUCAUGAAGCUUAUAGUUCUUGCAAAGGACAAUCAACAAACCCAAAAGUGUUGUAUGGAUGAGUCGGUUGUGAGAACAACUUCAUAUGGUAGGGAGGAGACUAUGCCAAGCCAUUUUUCCUCAAAUAGAAUUUCAUGAGUCGUUGUAUCCAAUAAGGGUUAAGGAUUGCAAUGUAGCAAGGCAGCUCGAAUUAGCUAAUAUUUCAUACAAAGUCCUAUAAGAACCUUAACGAAACAAAGAUGAUCUUAACUAAUUUUAGCAUCAUCAAGUUGAGUCCAAAUAGGUUCAAGAGUAGGGAGAUAUUCACUGACAGAUUCCAAUAUUGUGUUGAAGAUCUUUAGUAUUAUAAAAGGCACCAAUUUAAACAUGAAUGCCACAAAUAGAAGUGUUACCUGAUAGCACCAAAAAAAUUGCUAUCUGGCUCCUCUUAAUAUAUGAUUAUUGUUGUGUUUAAUGUAUUUAUUUAGAGCUUUUAUAGGUAUCAAGCACUCAGGAGGUAGAAUUGGCAGUUACAGACUGUUCGAUAUUAAUUUGGAGAAAUUAGAAGCUAAAAAGAGCAUCUGGGGAUUCAAGGAAGAUAAAAUGACCAAAAUGGCUAUGGGAGAGCAACAUAGCAACGCAGUGGCACUGUGCCUCACACUUUUCCCUAAGAGCACAAGUUUUGGGGAAAAUGCAGGCAGCGCUGCGACGCACCCCUGUGGCGUUGCGACGCUACAUUGGCGUUCGGUAGAGUGAAGGGUUGUGCGCCAGGUGUGGCACGUAAAGAUGCUCGAGCACAUCAUGACAUAGCUAUGCUUCGACAAGUAGCCUUCUAGGGCAAGAGUGCUGCGGGCCUACGCUGUUUUUAUAAAUAGCGACUAUUCAUUUUUAGGUAAGAAGAAUGGGAGAGUUAGGUCGAUUUUGAGAUCUCUAAGCUCGACUUUGACCAUUCUUGGCAAAAACACAUGAGAUUUCUUUGUAUUUUGAGGUUUAUUUGUAUAUUUUGGUAUCGGGAUUCAAAUUCGAUGAACAGUUGAAGGCCCAAACAUCGAUUUUGAGUUUUAUUGGAC
Molecule: non-coding RNA, 3570 nt
Organism: Benincasa hispida (wax gourd)
Lineage: Eukaryota; Viridiplantae; Streptophyta; Magnoliopsida; Cucurbitales; Cucurbitaceae
Source: RefSeq, a predicted model, not a curated record